CCGGCCAGGGCUCUCGGCCGGGCUCUGGCUACCCACGUGUGGAGACCGGGCAGAAAAGGGAGCGAUGUUGAUCUCAGGAAGCACAAAGGGACCUUCCUAGCUCUGACUGAACCACGGACUCACCCUGGACAGUAUCACUCCGUGGAGGAAGACUGUGAGACUGUGGCUGGAAGCCAGAUUGUAGCCACACAUCCGCCCCUGCCCUACCCCAGAGCCCUGGAGCAGCAACUGGCUGCAGAUCACAGACACAGUGAGGAUAUGAGUGUAGGGGUGAGCACCUCAGCCCCUCUUUCCCCAACCUCGGGCACAAGCGUGGGCAUGUCUACCUUCUCCAUCAU
RNAcentral lists this long non-coding RNA (338 nucleotides) under Homo sapiens (human). RNAcentral describes it as "non-protein coding lnc-SLC30A3-2:1". The record is from RNAcentral. Lineage: Eukaryota; Metazoa; Chordata; Mammalia; Primates; Hominidae.